Molecule: ribosomal RNA, 393 nt
Filed under: uncultured bacterium
Lineage: Bacteria
Description: partial 16S ribosomal RNA
Rfam family: Bacterial small subunit ribosomal RNA
Source: RNAcentral
AUACGGAGGAUGCAAGCGUUAUCCGGAUUUAUUGGGUUUAAAGGGUGCGUAGGCUGUUCGGAAAGUCAGGGGUGAAAGCCCGGCGCCUAACGCCGGAACUGCCUUUGAUACUUCCGAGCUGGAAUACGGAUGCCGUGGGAGGAAUGAGUAGUGUAGCGGUGAAAUGCAUAGAUAUUACACAGAACACCGAUUGCGAAGGCAUCUCACGGAGGGUUGAUUGACGCUGAGGCACGAAAGCGUGGGGAUCAAACAGGAUUAGAUACCCUGGUAGUCCACGCAGUAAACGAUGAUGGCUAACCGCUGGGCUUAUCAGUUCAGUGGCCAAGCGAAAGCGAUAAGCCAUCCACCUGGGGAGUACGACCGCAAGGUUGAAACUCAAAUGAAUUGACGGGG